RNAcentral lists this non-coding RNA (28 nucleotides) under Homo sapiens (human). Lineage: Eukaryota; Metazoa; Chordata; Mammalia; Primates; Hominidae. The record is from RNAcentral.
ACACGCCUGUAGACCCCUAGCAGCUGCC